UUCUUAAUGAAUUUAUAUUAAGUACACCCUGCUCAAUGAAACUAAAUGGCUGCAGAAUUUUUACUGUACUAAGGUAGCAAAAUAAUUUGCCUUAUAAUUGAAGGCUAGAAUAAAAGGGAUUACGAAAAAACUUCUGUUUCUUAAUUUAUUAUUGAACUUAUUUUUAUAAUAAAAAUUAUUAUAAAAAAAAAGAAAGACGACAAGACCCUAUCGAACUUAACUUAAGUUUAGUUGGGGUGACUUUUCAAAGAACAAUUUCUUCUUUUUUAUAAUUAAAAAUUAUAACAAGUUACCGUAGGGAUAACAGUAUAAUUUUAUUUUAGAGAUCAUAUCAAAAAUAUAGAUUAUUACCUCGAUGUUGAAUAAAUUGACUUUUAAAAGAAAAAGUUUAAAUAGUAAGUCUGUUCGACUUUUAAAAUUUUACA
Molecule: ribosomal RNA, 425 nt
Filed under: Hexura picea
Lineage: Eukaryota; Metazoa; Arthropoda; Arachnida; Araneae; Mecicobothriidae
Description: partial 16S ribosomal RNA
Rfam family: Bacterial large subunit ribosomal RNA
Source: RNAcentral